AGUGAACGCUGGCGGUAGGCCUAACACAUGCAAGUCGAACGGCAGCACAGUAAGAGCUUGCUCUUACGGGUGGCGAGUGGCGGACGGGUGAGGAAUACAUCGGAAUCUACUUUUUCGUGGGGGAUAACGUAGGGAAACUUACGCUAAUACCGCAUACGACCUACGGGGGAAAGCAGGGGAUCUUCGGACCUUGCGCGAGUGAAUGAGCCGAUGUCGGAUUAGCUAGUUGGCGGGGUAAAGGCCCACCAAGGCGACGAUCCGUAGCUGGUCUGAGAGGAUGAUCAGCCACACUGGAACUGAGACACGGUCCAGACUCCUACGGGAGGCAGCAGUGGGGAAUAUUGGACAAUGGGCGCAAGCCUGAUCCAGCCAUACCGCGUGGGUGAAGAAGGCCUUCGGGUUGUAAAGCCCUUUUGUUGGGAAAGAAAAGCAGCAGGUUAAUACCCCGCUGUUCUGACGUUACCCAAAGAAUAAGCACCGGCUAACUUCGUG
This 492-nucleotide ribosomal RNA is filed under the name uncultured bacterium. Its description in RNAcentral is "partial 16S ribosomal RNA". It matches the Rfam family "Bacterial small subunit ribosomal RNA", at positions 29 to 507 of the family's 1533-position model. The record is from RNAcentral.